Bufo gargarizans (Asiatic toad) is the source of this 658-nucleotide long non-coding RNA. RefSeq lists it as uncharacterized. The transcript has 3 exons. The record is from RefSeq and is a predicted model, not a curated record. Lineage: Eukaryota; Metazoa; Chordata; Amphibia; Anura; Bufonidae.
AAGCCGAGGAUUGUGCGGGAGAUAAGGAAGGAGCUAAGGAGGGAGUGUAAGGGAAGGCACAGUGCGAUGGCGAUCAUCAAACAUUGGUCGGAUCUUAAGAGGAGGCACAUCGCGUGGAUCACAGAGAUCCGGGACAGAAAAUGCCCAGGUGCUCCCGUUCCCCCCGUCCGCCACAGGUCGUCGACGGACGAGAUGAAGGUAGUGGUCAUGUCCGCCGAGAAGGAGGAGGAGGAGGAAGAGCAGGCCGGACCUUCCCAGCCGCAGCAGGAUGCACCACCCUCACCUGAUGUGGGUGAAGAGAUGGAGGUGGAGGAGGCCGGACUCUCCCGGCAGCUGGAUCCCCCCACCCCCAGCUCCAGAUGAGGAAGAAGAGGCUGUCACCAGCCCCCGCCAUGAGGAAGGGUUAAAGAAGAAAAUGCACCCCAGUAUAUGUUCAUCAUUUAGCAAACACCCCAAAAUAAUUAUAAAGCUGCAGCAUGAGGACAAAAAAGCCAUGCAGGAGAUCUGGGAGCAGCAAAAAAAGAUAAGGGAGCAGCAGCGGCAUCUGUAUUGCAAGGUGCAGCAGUUGGAAGAGCUGCACCGUAAUGGGAUGCAGGAGAUGCUGGACCUCCAUAAACAACUCAAACAGUUGCCUUAGAGCCAUAUUUGUUCCUCAAAA